UAUAGAAUUUUAUAUUAACUUUACCUAGCGGUUAAUGCUGGUUUUUUGUUAAUAUUUGGUUGGGAGGAUUAUUAAAUUUAACAAACUUUAUAUCAUUAUAAACUUUGAUUUAAGAAAAUAUAAUGAUCUUCAAUUUGAAAUAGUUAGAGUAAAUUACCUUAGGGAUAACAGCGUAAUAUUUUUUUAUAGACCUUAUAGAAAAAAAUGGUUGCGACCUCGAUGUUGAAUUAAGAUAAAUUUUAAAUGCAGGAGUUUAAUAAUUAAGUCUG
This 269-nucleotide ribosomal RNA is filed under the name Lepidotrigona ventralis. Its description in RNAcentral is "partial large subunit ribosomal RNA". Lineage: Eukaryota; Metazoa; Arthropoda; Insecta; Hymenoptera; Apidae. The record is from RNAcentral.